GUGGCUUUGGUGUUGCCUUCUUGUCUGAGCUUUUAUCGGUGCUUCUUUUGUUUUCUAUUUGAGUCAUCAGUGCCCUUUUCCUACGUUCGAGUAGGGGGGUUUACUUCUCUUUUUGUUUGUUUGUUUGUUUUGUUUGCUUUGGUCUUCCCUCACUUUGGGUAGGGAUUUGCUAUUUUUUACUCUGUGUUGUUUUUCUUUAGGUCCAAUGAUGGCAACGGGAGGGAAACUCUAUGGACCUGGUCUAAGGGUGUUUUGAUCUGGCAUUCGAAGAGAUCUAUUGAGACUUGAUGUCGCAACAUGGGACCACACCGAUACGUCCAGUGAUACUACUCCCGUUGGCCGUUAGACAAUGGCUAUGCUCUGUCGUGUCUCUCCUUAUCUAUGUGGAUUGAAGCGCAAGUGCUAUUCUUCUGGCUGAUUAUGUUUACAUAUAGUUGUUUACCGCUUUCUUUUGUGUUGAUUUUUUCUAUGGAUUCCAUCAUUGGUUCGUGUCGUUCUCUGUAAUGCCAUGGGGGGAAUGCGAUCAUGUGCUGGUAGUGAGGUGAUUGAGCAGUUUCUUUGAUGGGAAGGACAGUUGAUUUUAUCAUGAGCAGCAUCAACACCUUAGAAUAUAUUCAUUCCCAGUUCAAACUCCUGAUAGUGCACCUUGCGUGAUUUUCUAGACUCGAUCAAAAUGAGUGUAGGGGAUUGUAUUAAACUUCUUUGAUAAUUGUGUGAUUAUGUAAUUGUUUUGUAGAAAUCAUCAAGCUUAGCAGUGAGGAUUUUGUGAAAAUGAUAUUAUUAGAUGCUACCUUCAUC
Molecule: long non-coding RNA, 798 nt
Organism: Manihot esculenta (cassava)
Lineage: Eukaryota; Viridiplantae; Streptophyta; Magnoliopsida; Malpighiales; Euphorbiaceae
Exons: 2
Source: RefSeq, a predicted model, not a curated record